RNAcentral lists this ribosomal RNA (266 nucleotides) under unidentified marine bacterioplankton. RNAcentral's name for it is "partial 16S ribosomal RNA". It matches the Rfam family "Bacterial small subunit ribosomal RNA", at positions 45 to 339 of the family's 1533-position model. The record is from RNAcentral.
UAUGUAUAAUACAUGCAAGUCGAACGAGGCUUCGGCCUAGUGGCGAACGGCUGAGUAACACGUUGGUAGCUGCCCCGCACUCAGGGAUAACAUCUAGAAAUAGAUGCUAAUACCGGAUGGCCCCGAAAGGGUAAAGAUUUAUCGGUGCGGGAGGCGCCUGCGGCCUAUCAGCUUGUUGGUGAGGUAACGGCUCACCAAGGCUAUGACGGGUAACUGGUCUGAGAGGACGACCAGUCAGAAUGGGACUGAGACACGGCCCAUACUCC